UGUGGAGUGGGGCAGAGUAUGGGGCACAAUGUGGGGCACAGCAUGGGGCACGCUGUGGGACACAAUGUGGGGCACAAUGUGGGGUGUGCUAUGGGGUGCAGUGUGGGGCACGGCAUGGGGCACAGUGUGGGGCACAAUGUGGGGCACAAUGUGGGGCACGCAAUGGGGUGUGCUGGGGGGCACGGUGUGGCGUGGGGCACAAUGUGGGGCACAGCAUGUGGCACGCUGUGGGGCACAAAGUGGGGCACAAUGUGGGGCACAGCAUGGGGCACCAUGUGGGGCACAGCAUGGGGCAUGCUGUGGGACACAAUGUGGGGCACAAUGUGGGGUGUGCUAUGGGGCGCAGUGUGGGGCACGCUGUGGGGCACGCUGUGGGGUGAGCUGUGGGGCACACCAUGGGGCACAGUGUGGGGCACAAAGUGGGGCAGCUCUGGGGUGUGCUGGGGGGGCACGGGCUGGUGCGGGGCACAAUGUGGGGCACAAUGUGGGGCACGCUGUGGGGCGCUAUGGGGCGCUAUGGGGCGGACACCGGAUCACCCCACGGCCUCGCCCCACAUCUGACCCCACAGACGGCGACGCCGACGGUGUGAAUGGCGCCGUGGAAAUGGGUGGGGCGGAUUCGGAUUCCGGACAGCGGGACGGGAAUGGAAACCAGGUGCUGCCCCGCGUGUCGCACGAGGAGGUGAACCAGCGCCUGAACAACCUCUACAGCCUCCUGCUGGAGCUGCAGGUCUGUGGGGCGGCGCUGUGGGGCGCCAUGGGGUGGUGUUAUGGGGCUGACGCUAUGGGGCGCCGUGGGCAGCGCUGUGGGGCGCCAUGGGGUGAUGUUAUGGGGCUGACGCUAUGGGGCGCUGUGGGGCGAUGUUAUGGGGCUGACGCUAUGGGGCGCCGUGGGCAGUGCUGUGGGGCGCUAUGGGGCAGCUCUGUGUGUUAUGGGGCCGCUCCGCGCUAUGGGGUGCUAUGGGGCAGCUCCUUGCGCUAUGGGGCGCUAUGGGGUGCUAUGGGGUGCUACGGGGCCGCUCUCUGUGCUAUGGGGCGCUGUGGGGCCGCUCUCCGUGCUAUGGGGCGCUAAGGGGCAGCUGUCUGCACUAUGGGGCGCUACGGGCGGCUCCGUGCUAUGGGGCGCUAUGGGGCGCUAUGGGUCAGCUCUGUGCUAUGGGGAGCUAUGGGGCGGAUGUCUGUGCUGUGGGGAGCUAUGGGGCGCUAUGGGGCCAGCCUCCGCACUAUGGGGCGCUAUGGGGCCGCUCUCCACGCUGUGGGGCGCUAUGGGGCAGCUCUCCGUACUAUGGGGCGCUACGGGGCCGCUCUCCGUGCUAUGGGGCACUAUGGGGGGAUAUGGGGCACUACAGGGCUGCUCUCUGCGCUGUGGGGUGCUGUGCGGCCGCUGUCCGCGCUAUGGGGCGCUAUGGGGCGCUAUGGGGCAGCUCCGUGCUAUGGGGCGGCUCUGUGCUCUACGGGGCGCUGUGGGGCCGCUGUCCGCGCUAUGGGGCGCUAUGGGGCGGCUCUGUGCUAUGGGGCGCUAUGGGGCGAUAUGGGGCGCUAUGGGGCAG
Molecule: long non-coding RNA, 1550 nt
Organism: Phasianus colchicus (ring-necked pheasant)
Lineage: Eukaryota; Metazoa; Chordata; Aves; Galliformes; Phasianidae
Source: Ensembl